CCUUCGAUAGCUCAGUUGGUAGAGCGGAGGACUGUAGGAGUAUUCGACCUGGAAAUCCUUAGGUCGCUGGUUCGAAUCCGGCUCGAAGGA
Molecule: transfer RNA, 90 nt
Filed under: Mus musculus (house mouse)
Lineage: Eukaryota; Metazoa; Chordata; Mammalia; Rodentia; Muridae
Rfam family: tRNA
About the family: Transfer RNA (tRNA) molecules are approximately 80 nucleotides in length. Their secondary structure includes four short double-helical elements and three loops (D, anti-codon, and T loops).
Source: Rfam by way of RNAcentral